This 468-nucleotide ribosomal RNA is filed under the name uncultured bacterium. Its description in RNAcentral is "partial 16S ribosomal RNA". It matches the Rfam family "Bacterial small subunit ribosomal RNA", at positions 28 to 507 of the family's 1533-position model. The record is from RNAcentral.
GACGAACGCUGGCGGCGUGCUUAACACAUGCAAGUCGAACGGAAAGGCCCUGCUUUUUGCGGGGUCUCGAGUGGCGAAAGGGUGGGUAACACGUGAGUAACCUGCCCUUGACUUUGUGGUAACUUCAGGAAACUGGGGCUAAUACCGGGUAGGAGUUGCUGCUGCAUGUGGGGGGUUGGAGAGUUUGGGGGGUUGGGGCUGGACUGGGGGGUUAUGAGCUUGUUGGGGGGGUAGUGGCUUAACACGGCUUGGACGGGUAGCCGGCCUGAGAGGGUGAGCGGCCAGGUUGGGACUGCGAUACGGCCCAGACUCCUACGGGAGGCAGCAGUGGGGAAUAUUGCACAAUGGGCGGACGCCUGAUGCAGCAACGCCGCGUGCGGGAUGAAGGCCUUCGGGUUGUAAACCGCUUUCGCCUGUGACGAAGCGUGAGUGACGGUAAUGGGUAAAGAAGCACCGGCUAACUACGUG